This 372-nucleotide unclassified non-coding RNA is filed under the name uncultured fungus. Its description in RNAcentral is "partial contains 5.8S ribosomal RNA and internal transcribed spacer 2". The stretch from base 1 to 133 matches the Rfam family "5.8S ribosomal RNA", at positions 22 to 154 of the family's 154-position model. Lineage: Eukaryota; Fungi. The record is from RNAcentral.
UGGCUCUCGCAUCGAUGAAGAACGCAGCGAAAUGCGAUAAGUAAUGUGAAUUGCAGAAUUCAGUGAAUCAUCGAAUCUUUGAACGCACCUUGCACCCUAUGGCAUUCCAUAGGGUACACCCGUUCGAGUAUCAUUGUAAUCUCACCUCCACGACUCUUGUUGUGUGAAGUGGACUUGGACCUUGUCGUGUGAUGACGACCGGUCUGAAAUGCAUGAGUGUACCCUGCCGUCGCAGCGUCUUCAGUGUGAUAAGCAUCUUCACUGAUCAAGUCUCCUUUGAGACACGCACGCGCCGUGGGCUCUGCGCUUCCAACCGUCCUUGUGGACAGUUGUUGACGAUUUGAUCUCGAAUCGGGUGGGACUACCCGCUGA